Long non-coding RNA from Hyla sarda, 1680 nucleotides. RefSeq lists it as uncharacterized. NCBI's taxonomy places the organism in Eukaryota, Metazoa, Chordata, Amphibia, Anura, Hylidae. The record is from RefSeq and is a predicted model, not a curated record. The transcript has 4 exons.
GACCAACUCAGUCACGUGAUAGGUUGCUAGGAGUUCGCGCCUCAUCUCAUAGUUACAAAGACAUUAACCCUUAGUCUGCUGGAUUUUGAAGAUGUAUAAAAAGGGCUGUAUACUAUAAAUAACUACAAAAGAGAGUGCCCUCUUAUAAAAUGUGGUCACUAGAAUCGGACCCGCAAAGCCCCCAUAAACAGCCUUAGAAAAUCCAGCUGAAGCUGAAAGCUGAAAAAAACUACACAAACUACCAUCCCGUGCACCUGUGUCCUGUGUGAGCUGCAGGGAGAGCUGAGCAGGUCACAUGGUUAAAGAAGCAGAGAAUAUAGCUUGCUGCAGGCGCUUGUAAUGGUCCUAGCAUAUAUAUGCGAAUUAGCCUCUUAAAGAUGAAUGGGAAACUUCUUAUAACUAUUGAAUAUGAUUUAUGAGAAGACUUUGACUGGAAAACGGGACAAUUCUGCUUAGUACACCAUAUUGCUACCCUUUGUUUUUUUUUUUUAUAUUAUCCUUGUCAGCUAUCCACCUGAACAAUUGUUCUAUCCAAAUCUCCAGGAAGACAUCAUGCUCUAUUGCUGUUGUGCUGACACUAUCCCAUUCAUCACAUGUUCAUCUUAAACAAUGUUGACAGGAGGUGCUCAGUCCAUGGAUCACCCUCUAAAAAUUCUGUGUUAUAUGGAGAACGAAUAUUAGGGUAAUAAUGAUAACUAUUACACUUGUUGUUUCUUUGUUGGUAGAUGGCUCAUUUGACAAAUUAUAUUGGAUGUUUCAUGUUACCAAGGUGAUUUUAGCAGAGAGGGACAACUUAACCUGUGGUAUAUUUCAAAAGGCACUCUUCUUCUUGGAUGUGUGAGGCUUUAUCUGGAGGCAAUUGGCAUGAAAUUGACUACAUUUCUCUCUUUUUGCUUUGCAUUUGUUCUCAACCAAGUGCAGUAAAUUGUGGCAUUUAUAACUUAGACUCAAAUCUUUAGAAAUGGAAACAAUUAUCGGGUGAUCUGACUUUCUAUCACCUCCAUUUAAAAACCACCUUUCCAACAAAGGAAAUGUUAAUCACAUAUUACAAUUAUUAUUGGGAACACAAUUUAGACACAGGCCAUAUUGUUCCAUGCACGGCUUCAUCUUGAAGGUCAUAAAAUUACCUCAUGGUUUGAUGAACAGGUUGUAAUGUGAGAAAGAAUUACGUUUCUGGAAGUAACAAGUGCCAUAAUAUCUACUAAUACAUUAUGACUGAAAUUUAGACAUGUACUAUGCUACACAACACUCUGUGUUGUGGUCUUUUAUAUUAUAAAUCUGUAUAGCAUAGUAUCUGUCUAAAUUUCAGUCUUCAUAAGACAUUGGUGCCCACCACAUUUUUUAAAUGUGCAGAAUGUCCACACGUUUUCCGUACAGACGUUCUGCACAUUUUAUGCUGUAUGAACAUAGCCUUAAAGUCAAUUGCAAAUUUUUUGAGGAAAAAAAACUGAUGCAAAAAAGAAUGGUUUCACAGGAUGCAAAAGGAUGCUUUUCCCACAACAUCCUGUUUCCAAAGACUUACAUUGUACAAAAAAAUGGUUACAACUUUUUUUUUUUUUAAAGAUUGUAUAUUUGGUUAAGGGUGCAUUCAUACCUUGUAUUUACUCUCUGGCAACUGAAUCCAGCAGUAGAAUUUGAAAACCACCUGCUGCCAUUUCCCUGCCGUAACUGGGCCCUACU